Molecule: small nucleolar RNA, 119 nt
Filed under: Peromyscus maniculatus bairdii (prairie deer mouse)
Lineage: Eukaryota; Metazoa; Chordata; Mammalia; Rodentia; Cricetidae
Description: Small nucleolar RNA SNORA70 (ENSPEMG00000027234.1)
Rfam family: Small nucleolar RNA SNORA70
About the family: snoRNA U70 seems to be exclusive to mammals and is a member of the H/ACA class of snoRNA which contain H (ANANNA) and ACA box motifs. H/ACA box snoRNAs are involved in the conversion of uridines to pseudouridines (5-ribosyluracil) a constituent of structural RNAs (transfer, ribosomal, small nuclear, and small nucleolar).
Source: Rfam by way of RNAcentral
CCACAGCAAACUAAAUCUGCCAGAUCCCUUUCCUCAUGGGGCUGGGGACAGUGGCCUCAGUGGUAGCGAAGGUAGCCUGUUGCCUACAUGGGUUUCUCUAUGACAUCUUGGAUACAGUU